CAUAAAUGUUACAAGACUUCCAAGUCCCCUCCCCAUGUAUUUCUUACCGUGAACGUUUGUUGAAGGCGUCAUUCAAAUCCUGAUUUGACAACUGUUUUGUCGCUCACGUUCCUGCGGCGCAACCCUGUAUCUCCUUCCCAUCUUCCAGCGAAACAAUUUCUAAGCAGCAUCGCAACACCUCUGCAAUGCACAUUAUGGACUUUACUGGAAACAUUUUAAUACAUCGAAACAUAUCAAAGAAGACAAGGGUGGCACACAUUGAAAAUACUAUUUUCUAUGUACCUUUUCCCUUCAUAGUUUAUGGAGCGAAAGCGAACUUUCAGCGAAUUUUAUGUCUUCUCCAGGCAGCCCUGACGUGGCCUCAAUGAAGAACGAGAGAGGAGCCACUUACCUGUAUCUCAAAACACUAUCUGGAUUGUGGGAGGCAGAGAACGAGAGAGGAGC
This is a long non-coding RNA of Oncorhynchus tshawytscha (Chinook salmon), 444 nucleotides long. Lineage: Eukaryota; Metazoa; Chordata; Actinopteri; Salmoniformes; Salmonidae. The record is from Ensembl.